GCCCGUGUAGCUCAGAUGGUAGAGCUUCGUGCUUUUACCACGACUGUCGCGGGUUCGAUUCCCGUCGUGGGCA
This is a non-coding RNA of Schistocerca gregaria, 73 nucleotides long. The record is from the annotation of a RefSeq genome assembly. NCBI's taxonomy places the organism in Eukaryota, Metazoa, Arthropoda, Insecta, Orthoptera, Acrididae.